UACAGAGGGUGCAAGCGUUGUUCGGAAUUAUUGGGCGUAAAGCGCACGUAGGCGGCUUCGCAAGUCGGAUGUGAAAUCCCUCGGCUCAACCGAGGACGUGCACCCGAAACUGCGAAGCUUGAGUACUGAAGAGGAUCGCGGAAUUCCCGGUGUAGAGGUGAAAUUCGUAGAUAUCGGGAGGAACACCAGUGGCGAAGGCGGCGAUCUGGGCAGAUACUGACGCUGAGGUGCGAAAGCGUGGGGAGCAAACAGG
This 253-nucleotide ribosomal RNA is filed under the name uncultured bacterium. RNAcentral's name for it is "partial 16S ribosomal RNA". It matches the Rfam family "Bacterial small subunit ribosomal RNA", at positions 524 to 776 of the family's 1533-position model. The record is from RNAcentral.